GAGGGUGUGGCUCAGUGGUAAGAGUACGUGCUUAGCAUGUGUGAGGUCCUGGGUUCACUCCCCAGUACCUCCA
RNAcentral lists this transfer RNA (73 nucleotides) under Camelus bactrianus (Bactrian camel). It matches the Rfam family "tRNA". From Rfam's summary of the family: Transfer RNA (tRNA) molecules are approximately 80 nucleotides in length. Their secondary structure includes four short double-helical elements and three loops (D, anti-codon, and T loops). Lineage: Eukaryota; Metazoa; Chordata; Mammalia; Artiodactyla; Camelidae. RNAcentral also lists the same sequence under 2 other names. The record is from Rfam by way of RNAcentral.